CCAUCCAACCUGACAGUGCUUGAGAGGAUCUGCAGAAAAUAAUGGGAGAAACUCCCUAAAUACAGGUGUGCCAAGCUUUUAGCGUCAUACCCAAGAAGACUUGAUUCUGUAAUCGCUGCCAAAGGUGCUUCAACAAAGUACUGAGUAAAGGGACUGAAUACUUAUGUAAAUGUUAUAUUUCAGUAAAACAAUAUAUAAAUUAGCAAAAAAUUCUACAAACCUGUUUUUGCUUUGUCAUUAUGGGGUAUUGUGUGUAGAUUGAUGAGGUGAAAAAAACGAUUUAAUACAUUUUAGAGUAAGGCUGAAACAUAACAAAAUGUGGGAAACGUCAAGGGGUCUGAAUACUUUCUGAAUGCACUGUAUUUCCAAUAAAAUGGUAGAUAUACACUCAGCAGCCAGUUUAUUAGGUACACCACUAGAGAAAGUGAGUCACGUGGCUAUGGCUCGCUACAGUAUAUAAAGCAGGCAGACAGGCAUCGAUGAAUUCAGUUACUGUUCGAUUGAACGUUACAAUGGGCAAAACGAGGUACCCAAAAUGAAUGAUCGUCGGUGCCAGGUGCGCCGGAUCCAGUACCUCAGAAACAGCCACUCUCCUGGGCUUCUCAAGCACAAUGAUGUCCAGGGUUGAUCGAGAAUGGUGAAGAAAAAAAAGAAAAAAAUCCAGUGGCAGUCCUGUGGGCGAAAACAGCUAGCUGAUGAGAGGUCGAAAGAGAAUGGCAAGCUAACAGGUGGGCCACAAACAGACAAAUAAUGGCACAGUUCAACAGUGAGAAUAGUUUGACAAACAACGGCAUGGAAAAACAUUGCCUGGAACAUGACAGUGAGUUCAGUUUACUUAAGUGGACUGGACAGUCCCCAGACCUCAACCCAAUGGAACAUCUUUGGGAUGACAUGGAACGGGCUGUUCGCAGCAUGAAUGUGCCAUUGACCAAUCUGCAGCAACUGCGUGAUGCCAAAGCCUCAGAAUGGACCAACCUCCCUGUGGAACGUUUCCGAAACCUUGUAGAAUGCCCCGAAGAAUUCAGGAUGUUCUGUAGGCAAAGGAGUGUUCAACCUGGUACUAGAUGGGUGUACUUAAUGAACUAUGUAGAUGUAAGGCAUUGAAGCCAUCAGUCGGCCACCUACUGUAGCUGGUCAGCUAUAGUGAUUACU
This 1152-nucleotide long non-coding RNA is filed under the name Salmo salar (Atlantic salmon). RNAcentral describes it as "lncRNA (ENSSSAG00000109884.1)". Lineage: Eukaryota; Metazoa; Chordata; Actinopteri; Salmoniformes; Salmonidae. The record is from RNAcentral.